Molecule: ribosomal RNA, 253 nt
Filed under: uncultured bacterium
Lineage: Bacteria
Description: partial 16S ribosomal RNA
Rfam family: Bacterial small subunit ribosomal RNA
Source: RNAcentral
UACGUAGGGGGCAAGCGUUGUCCGGAAUUAUUGGGCGUAAAGAGCGUGUAGGCGGUUCGGUAGGUCCGUUGUGAAAACUCGAGGCUCAACCUUGAGACGCCGAUGGAAACCCUCGAACUAGAGUCCGGAAGAGGAGAGUGGAAUUCCUGGUGUAGCGGUGAAAUGCGCAGAUAUCAGGAAGAACACCCGUGGCUAAGGCGGCUCUCUAGUACGGUACUGACGCUGAGACGCGAAAGCGUGGGGAGCGAACAGG